Molecule: long non-coding RNA, 306 nt
Filed under: Lathyrus oleraceus (garden pea)
Lineage: Eukaryota; Viridiplantae; Streptophyta; Magnoliopsida; Fabales; Fabaceae
Description: Pisum sativum (pea) long non-coding RNA (PSAT_LNC008816)
Source: RNAcentral
CACGAUGCACCUGAGUAAAAGAUCCACACGCUUGGUAAUCAACAUGUACGCUCGUGAUUAAAACAAUUUGAAUCCAUCUAAUCGCUCUGGACCGUGCCACAUCAUUACCGGAGUAAAGCGACGGUCGUCUUCUCAGGCGACCUUGGCCGGACUGGACCAUUCAUCACCACAUCAUAAAUGAAAAAGGAGGACAUGAUCUGAAAGAUAAAAUGACGUAGAUCACGAAUAUCACCUCAAUUUUAACUAAGUCCAAAUAUAUAGAGAGAUGUGUGGAGUUGAAUUUUGAGGUGUGUCAACUGAGUUGCU